AUCAUAUAAUUGAAAACUACCUUUGCUACUUUUGGAAUUUUAAAACUGAAAUAAUUUUAGAAAUAAUUUGACCUCCCUCAUUUGUAAAUGAUGGAAGACUUAAACAAUUUCACACAAUGAGAAAAUGCCAGAACCAGGGCUCGUACCACUAACUCACAUGUUCAACCAUCAAAGUACACAGUUCCUAUUGGUUUUAGUUCUGCCCUUUUAGAUUGGUGGCCCUGCAGAUAUUUAAAGACAGGCAUUAUUUUUAUCCUCAAUCUUCUUUCUGCUGAGAGGCUUUAUCAGGAAAGAUGGUAGUGUCUUUUUUUCUCUCUGCAGGCUGAGGACCUGUUCAUGGAAUUUGCACAUAAGGCUUCAGCUUUCAACAACUGGUGUGAAAAGGCGGAAGAAAACUUGUCAGAGCCUGUGCACUGUGUCUCCCUGAAUGAAAUUCGGCAGCUGCAGAAAGACCAUGAGGACUUCUUGGCCUCCUUGGCUGGGGCUCAAGCAGACUUUAAAUGUUUGCUGGAGCUAGACCAGCAGAUUAAGGCCUUAGGUGUGCCUUCCAGCCCUUAUACCUGGUUAACAGUGGAGGUGCUGGAAAGGACCUGGAAGCACCUAUCUGACAUCAUUGAGGAACGGGAGCAGGAGCUGCAAAAGGAAGAGGCAAGACAGGUCAAGAACUUUGAGAUGUGUCAGGAGUUUGAACAGAAUGCCAGUACCUUCCUUCAGUGGAUCCUGGAAACCAGGUGUGCUAUGGUACAUCCCAAACCAUGACCCCUAUG
This 767-nucleotide small RNA is filed under the name Pongo abelii (Sumatran orangutan). RNAcentral's name for it is "retained intron". Lineage: Eukaryota; Metazoa; Chordata; Mammalia; Primates; Hominidae. The record is from RNAcentral.